Molecule: ribosomal RNA, 497 nt
Filed under: uncultured bacterium
Lineage: Bacteria
Description: partial 16S ribosomal RNA
Rfam family: Bacterial small subunit ribosomal RNA
Source: RNAcentral
GAUGAACGCUGGCGGCGUGCCUAAUACAUGCAAGUCGAGCGAACAGAUAAGGAGCUUGCUCCUUUGACGUUAGCGGCGGACGGGUGAGUAACACGUGGGUAACCUACCUAUAAGACUGGGAUAACUUCGGGAAACCGGAGCUAAUACCGGAUAACAUUUGGAACCGCAUGGUUCUAAAGUGAAAGAUGGUUUUGCUAUCACUUAUAGAUGGACCCGCGCUGUAUUAGCUAGUUGGUAAGGUAACGGCUUACCAAGGCGACGAUACGUAGCCGACCUGAGAGGGUGAUCGGCCACACUGGAACUGAGACACGGUCCAGACUCCUUCGGGAGGCAGCAGUAGGGAAUCUUCCGCAAUGGGCGAAAGCCUGACGGAGCAACGCCGCGUGAGUGAUGAAGGGUUUCGGCUCGUAAAACUCUGUUAUUAGGGAAGAACAAAUGUGUAAGUAACUGUGCACGUCUUGACGGUACCUAAUCAGAAAGCCACGGCUAACUACGUG